GCAGUUCUUAAGUAUCCAGGUGGUGAGAUAAGGGUGUGUGAUUGCUACAGAGCAAAGGGCCAGUGCACCUAAAUGCCUGGCACUCUGUCUCCUAGCAACUGAUGGUUCACUGCCCCCCAGAAUGGACCCGGCCGAGGGGUCCGGUUCUCUGUAUCUACAAGCUCUGUUUUAGACCCUGUUCCUGUCAUCGAAUAAACCUCUGUGUUACUGGCUGGCUGAGAGUCACGUCUGACUGCAAAGUGGGGGGGCAGGACCCUCUGGCUUCCCCAGGACCCCACUGGGGCGACUCGCUGUGGGAAGCGCACGGAGGGGCAGAGGAUGCUGAAUGCUCCAAGGAGAGACCCAGGAGGUGAAGCCGUGUGAGCUUCUUGCCCUGGAGACAGUCUGCUCCGAGGGAGAGGAGGCUCCCCAAAGUCCUGACUGGCUUGGUGGGGAGCAGUUCCAGAGCAUCGCCCGGGGACUCC
Molecule: long non-coding RNA, 464 nt
Organism: Gopherus flavomarginatus (Mexican gopher tortoise)
Lineage: Eukaryota; Metazoa; Chordata; Testudines; Testudinidae
Exons: 3
Source: RefSeq, a predicted model, not a curated record